This 233-nucleotide long non-coding RNA is filed under the name Mytilus galloprovincialis (Mediterranean mussel). The record is from RNAcentral. Lineage: Eukaryota; Metazoa; Mollusca; Bivalvia; Mytilida; Mytilidae.
AGGGACCGUUCAAUAUUUAUCAGAUGGAUGGGCCGGUGCAAAAUGGGGCGAGACAAGCACUUUUUUUGUGGAAAUAUUUGGAUGGGCAAGAACUUUUUUUUAAAUAUUUAGUGGAUGGGCCAGAACAUAUUUUAUAGGAAAAAUUUUGUUAUCAAUUUUAUUGGUUUGUAGGAUAUUUCUUUUGCGGGCACUCAAAACAUGUCUCAACAAACUGGUAGCUUGGCUCAUUUCUG